UCAGCUUUCUUUUCUUAUUCUUUUUCUUUUGAGUGCAAAAACAAAACACAAAAGGAAGGACUCUGAAGUUAGCGUGAGGAUAGGGUCUAUCAGUAGAAGCGGGCUUUGCGCCUCUCUCUCUCUCGUUCUGUUCCCUCUUUCUUUGUCUUUUCCCUCUGCGUGUUUCUUUUGUAGAGUACUUGUUUUGGGCUAUUAAUGGCUUU
Populus euphratica (Euphrates poplar) is the source of this 203-nucleotide long non-coding RNA. RefSeq lists it as uncharacterized. The transcript has 3 exons. NCBI's taxonomy places the organism in Eukaryota, Viridiplantae, Streptophyta, Magnoliopsida, Malpighiales, Salicaceae. The record is from RefSeq and is a predicted model, not a curated record.